AUGCAGUCGAGCGGUAGCACAGAGAGCUUGCUCUCGGGUGACGAGCGGCGGACGGGUGAGUAAUGUCUGGGAAACUGCCUGAUGGAGGGGGAUAACUACUGGAAACGGUAGCUAAUACCGCAUAACGUCGCAAGACCAAAGUGGGGGACCUUCGGGCCUCAUGCCAUCAGAUGUGCCCAGAUGGGAUUAGCUAGUAGGUGGGGUAAUGGCUCACCUAGGCGACGAUCCCUAGCUGGUCUGAGAGGAUGACCAGCCACACUGGAACUGAGACACGGUCCAGACUCCUACGGGAGGCAGCAGUGGGGAAUAUUGCACAAUGGGCGCAAGCCUGAUGCAGCCAUGCCGCGUGUGUGAAGAAGGCCUUCGGGUUGUAAAGCACUUUCAGCGGGGAGGAAGGCGUUAAGGUUAAUAACCUUGGCGAUUGACGUUACCCGCAGAAGAAGCACCGGCUAACUCCGUGCCAGCAGCCGCGGUAAUACGGAGGGUGCAAGCGUUAAUCGGAAUUACUGGGCGUAAAGCGCACGCAGGCGGUCUGUCAAGUCGGAUGUGAAAUCCCCGGGCUCAACCUGGGAACUGCAUUCGAAACUGGCAGGCUAGAGUCUUGUAGAGGGGGGUAGAAUUCCAGGUGUAGCGGUGAAAUGCGUAGAGAUCUGGAGGAAUACCGGUGGCGAAGGCGGCCCCCUGGACAAAGACUGACGCUCAGGUGCGAAAGCGUGGGGAGCAAACAGGAUUAGAUACCCUGGUAGUCCACGCCGUAAACGAUGUCGAUUUGGAGGUUGUGCCCUUGAGGCGUGGCUUCCGGAGCUAACGCGUUAAAUCGACCGCCUGGGGAGUACGGCCGCAAGGUUAAAACUCAAAUGAAUUGACGGGGGCCCGCACAAGCGGUGGAGCAUGUGGUUUAAUUCGAUGCAACGCGAAGAACCUUACCUGGUCUUGACAUCCACAGAACUUUCCAGAGAUGGAUUGGUGCCUUCGGGAACUGUGAGACAGGUGCUGCAUGGCUGUCGUCAGCUCGUGUUGUGAAAUGUUGGGUUAAGUCCCGCAACGAGCGCAACCCUUAUCCUUUGUUGCCAGCGGUUAGGCCGGGAACUCAAAGGAGACUGCCAGUGAUAAACUGGAGGAAGGUGGGGAUGACGUCAAGUCAUCAUGGCCCUUACGACCAGGGCUACACACGUGCUACAAUGGCAUAUACAAAGAGAAGCGACCUCGCGAGAGCAAGCGGACCUCAUAAAGUAUGUCGUAGUCCGGAUUGGAGUCUGCAACUCGACUCCAUGAAGUCGGAAUCGCUAGUAAUCGUAGAUCAGAAUGCUACGGUGAAUACGUUCCCGGGCCUUGUACACACCGCCCGUCACACCAUGGGAGUGGGUUGCAAAAGAAGUAGGUAGCUUAACCUUCGGGAGGGCGCUU
This 1407-nucleotide ribosomal RNA is filed under the name Klebsiella sp. RNAcentral describes it as "bacterial SSU rRNA". It matches the Rfam family "Bacterial small subunit ribosomal RNA". The record is from RNAcentral. Lineage: Bacteria; Pseudomonadati; Pseudomonadota; Gammaproteobacteria; Enterobacterales; Enterobacteriaceae.